Molecule: microRNA precursor, 99 nt
Filed under: Oryza sativa (Asian cultivated rice)
Lineage: Eukaryota; Viridiplantae; Streptophyta; Magnoliopsida; Poales; Poaceae
Description: miR5071 stem-loop (osa-MIR5071)
Source: miRBase by way of RNAcentral
GAACAGAUCAAAUCAAGCAUCAUAUCGUGGACACGGCAACCAUAUACAUACCCUUCAUUAUAGCGUGCCUUAGAUUGAUACCCUUGAUAUUGUACCUCC